GAUCUCAAAUCAGGUAGGACUACCCGCUGAACUUAAGCAUAUCAAUAAGCGGAGGAAAAGAAACUAACAAGGAUUCCCCUAGUAACUGCGAGUGAAGCGGGAAAGAGCUCAAAUUUAAAAAUCUGGCGUGCCUCUGGUCGUCCGAGUUGUAGUCUGGAGAAGNGUUUUCCGUGCUGGACCGUGUACAAGUCUCCUGGA
This 198-nucleotide ribosomal RNA is filed under the name uncultured Thelephoraceae. RNAcentral's name for it is "partial 28S ribsomal RNA". It matches the Rfam family "Eukaryotic large subunit ribosomal RNA", at positions 1 to 194 of the family's 3401-position model. The record is from RNAcentral. Lineage: Eukaryota; Fungi; Basidiomycota; Agaricomycetes; Thelephorales; Thelephoraceae.